Molecule: non-coding RNA, 22 nt
Filed under: Mus musculus (house mouse)
Lineage: Eukaryota; Metazoa; Chordata; Mammalia; Rodentia; Muridae
Source: RNAcentral
UGAUGGACAGCAGGUGAUGCUC